Panthera uncia (snow leopard) is the source of this 587-nucleotide long non-coding RNA. RefSeq lists it as uncharacterized. The transcript is spliced from 3 exons. NCBI's taxonomy places the organism in Eukaryota, Metazoa, Chordata, Mammalia, Carnivora, Felidae. The record is from RefSeq and is a predicted model, not a curated record.
CGAAUCAGUGAUUGUGACCGUAGAGAAACCGCAGGUGUAAGGGAGGAACCCAGGGCCGGCACCGCAGACUCCCAGAGAGCGCCGCGCCAAGGUUCUGUGACCUUGAACGAGAGUAAGAAAAAGCAUGCAAACACCUAUGAGAGGGACCUAGGUAGAAAUAACACACAAUGCGCAGAAGAGGAAAAAUUUAAUCCUAUCCUGUGAGGAAGCUCAAAUGGCUUGCUAAAUCUUAGUCUGUAGCGGAGACUGGACUUCAUCUAGAUCUGUGAAAUCAAGAUGAGGAAACCGAGGCUCAGAGAUGCAAAACAACAUGCCUAAAAUCAAACAACUGAAGAGCACACCAGAGAACUGCAGUGAUGGACUGUACCAGCUACAGCCAUAGUUCAUCGAAUCUGACAGAGAAAUAACACUGAGGCCCAGAUGGGAGGAUUCAGGCGGGUCGUCGGGGCUGCUGAGGAAAUUUUGGAAAUGUCUCCGGUGGGACGAGGAGUUCCAAAAGGCAAGGUCAUUUUUUCCAGCCCAAUAUGCCACUGUGGUUAGGGACGUACUCUGCCUUCAGGCUCAAGUGUGUUCCAGAGAAAUGCACC